RNAcentral lists this ribosomal RNA (203 nucleotides) under Ditylum brightwellii. Its description in RNAcentral is "partial Bacterial large subunit ribosomal RNA". It matches the Rfam family "Bacterial large subunit ribosomal RNA", at positions 2078 to 2280 of the family's 2925-position model. The record is from RNAcentral. Lineage: Eukaryota; Bacillariophyta; Thalassiosirophyceae; Lithodesmiales; Lithodesmiaceae.
GGACAGAAAGACCCUAUGAAGCUUUACUGUAUCUUGGAAUUGGGUUUGGGCCUUGCUUGCGCAGGAUAGGUGGGAGGCUUUGAAGAUAUUCUUGCGGGAAUAUUGGAGCCAAUGGUGAGAUACCACUCUAGCAUGGCUAAAAUUCUAACUUUGAACCGUUAUCCGGUCGAAGAACAGUUUCAGGUGGGCAGUUUGACUGGGGC